RNAcentral lists this ribosomal RNA (270 nucleotides) under uncultured bacterium. RNAcentral's name for it is "partial 16S ribosomal RNA". It matches the Rfam family "Bacterial small subunit ribosomal RNA", at positions 524 to 794 of the family's 1533-position model. The record is from RNAcentral.
UACGUAGGGUGCAAGCGUUAAUCGGAAUUACUGGGCGUAAAGCGUGCGCAGGCGGUUGUGCAAGACAGAUGUGAAAUCCCCGGGCUUAACCUGGGAACUGCGUUGGAAACUGUCGGGCUAGAGUGUAGAAGAGGGGGGUAGAAUUCCACGUGUAGCAGUGAAAUGCGUAGAGAUGUGGAGGAAUACCGAUGGCGAAGGCAGCCCCUGGGCUAACACUGACGCUCAUGCACGAAAGCGUGGGGAGCAAACAGGAUUAGAUACCCUAGUAGU